This 878-nucleotide ribosomal RNA is filed under the name uncultured Candidatus Saccharibacteria bacterium. RNAcentral describes it as "bacterial SSU rRNA". It matches the Rfam family "Bacterial small subunit ribosomal RNA", at positions 8 to 920 of the family's 1533-position model. Lineage: Bacteria; Candidatus Saccharimonadota. The record is from RNAcentral.
AGAGUUUGAUCCUGGCUCAGGAUGAACGCUGGCGGCAUGCCUAACACAUGCAAGUCGAUCGGUAAGGCUCUUCGGAGUACACGAGAGGCGGACGGCUGAGUAACGCGUAGGAACACACCCUGCAGUGAGGGAUAAGACACCGAAAGGUGUUCUAAUACCGCAUACGGUCUUCGGAUUAAAGCAUUUAUGCGCUGAAGGAGUGGCCUGCGUCAUAUUAGAUAGUUGGUGAGGUAAUGGCUUACCAAGUCGAUGAUGUGUAGCUGGUCUGAGAGGAUGAUCAGCCAGACUGGAACUGAGACACGGUCCAGACUCCUACGGGAGGCAGCAGUGAGGAAUAUUUCACAAUGAGCGAAAGCUUGAUGGAGCAAUGCCGCGUGCAGGAUGAAGGCCCUCGGGUUGUAAACUGCUUUUAUAAGAGAAGAUUAUGACGGUAACUUAUGAAUAAGGGACGGCUAACUACGUGCCAGCAGCCGCGGUCAUACGUAGGUCCCGAGCGUUAUCCGGAGUGACUGGGCGUAAAGAGUUGCGUAGGCGGUCAAGUUAGCGAGCGAUGAAAACUAUCGGCUCAACCGAUAGCUUGUUGUUCGAACUGCUUGACUCGAGAGUAUCAGAGGUCGCUGGAAUUCCUAGUGUAGCAGUGAAAUGCGUAGAUAUUAGGAAGAACACCGAUGGCGUAGGCAGGCGACUGGGAUAUUUCUGACGCUAAGGCACGAAAGCGUGGGUAGCGAACCGGAUUAGAUACCCGGGUAGUCCACGCCGUAAACGAUGGAUGCUAAUUGUUUGAGGUAUCGACCCCUCGAGUAAUAAAGCUAACGCGUUAAGCAUCCCGCCUGUGGAGUACGGCCGCAAGGCUAAAACAUAAAGGAAUUGACGGGGAC